RNAcentral lists this transfer RNA (72 nucleotides) under Basidiobolus meristosporus CBS 931.73. It matches the Rfam family "tRNA". From Rfam's summary of the family: Transfer RNA (tRNA) molecules are approximately 80 nucleotides in length. Their secondary structure includes four short double-helical elements and three loops (D, anti-codon, and T loops). Lineage: Eukaryota; Fungi; Basidiobolomycota; Basidiobolomycetes; Basidiobolales; Basidiobolaceae. The record is from Rfam by way of RNAcentral.
UCCUCAUUGGUCCAGUGGUUAGGAUUUCUUGCUCUCACUGAGACGGCCAGGGUUUGAUUCCCUGAUGGGGAA